GAUUCCGAAGGCAUGAGAAAAACGACUUGAAGGAUCCCAGUGGGGUUUAAAUGCCAUCCCACGGAAGGGUUUUCAUGGUAACCGUCCAAGGAUUUGUUUAUUUUUAAGCUGUUCAGAGGCCCCGAGGGAGGACCUUGUCAGCCAGGACAUCUUGUUCUCCUGGCCACGGCAAUGACCUUGGUGGUAGGUCAUGGAGAUGAGAAGGGUUGCGGAGACUGUUUGGUCCCAGGGCAGCGCUUAUGGGUUUCAUUUACUCAUGCCUAUUCUCUAUUGCUGCGCAUACUAUCUGCUGUUCAGCUAAUAUAAAAUGCAAUCAAUGGAGGGAGACUGCGGCAUUUUUCCUUUCUUUCUUUUUUUUCCUCUGAAUUUUAUUUUAUUUUUUUCCAACAUGGAGUCAUAACCGCGCCUGAGAUGCUGGACUACAAUCCCCAGCAUGCAUCGGGGCUGGACACUCUUCUUCCCAACCCCCACCUUUGGGGAAUGUAUAGUUUGGGUACCGUGAGCAAGGAAAGGAAAGGUGGCACUCGCGGCCAGGAAGCUUAGUCCUUCGGGGUCUGGGAUAGUGGUGGCAGCGGCGGGUCUGGAGGUGGCGCACUAAUCACACCUUUCGAGCAGAGAGACGGGAGAAAGAUGAGGCAGGGAGGAUCGGAGCCCGAUGCACACUGGGAGUUGUAGGCUUCGACGAGGCCGUGGGGCAUGCUGGGCACUGGAGUCCAUCCCGCUCAACUCCCGCCCCCGCCCCAAUCAGAAACCGAGAGGAGGAACGUGUUGGCGACGGCGCGCCAGGUCCUCCCCCGCCCCCGCCCCCGCCUCCUCCCCUCCCCCGUGUGUCCCCUCCCCCAACUCGUCGGGCUCCGCUGGUGCUGCUGCUGCCUCUGCCUCUGCCGCUGCCGCUGGUGCUGCCGCUGCGGACGGUCUGGUGUGUGAGAGCCGGCGCCCGAGCCCGAGCCCGAGCCCCGCGCCCAGGCCCCGCAGCGCGCAGCCGCCACGGACACCGGCCGAGGGACCGGGCACGUCGCCGCCGCCGGGGGAGACCAGGGCAUUGCCGCCGCAGCAGCCGCUGCCGCCGCCUUCUCCCGCUGCUACCCUCUGCCCAGUCUGGAUUUUGAAGCUCAGUGGCAGGUUCCUCCUGACUGAGAAGCAGUGA
RNAcentral lists this long non-coding RNA (1147 nucleotides) under Monodelphis domestica (gray short-tailed opossum). Its description in RNAcentral is "lncRNA (ENSMODG00000039564.1)". The record is from RNAcentral. Lineage: Eukaryota; Metazoa; Chordata; Mammalia; Didelphimorphia; Didelphidae.